Molecule: ribosomal RNA, 377 nt
Filed under: uncultured bacterium
Lineage: Bacteria
Description: bacterial SSU rRNA
Rfam family: Bacterial small subunit ribosomal RNA
Source: RNAcentral
AUACGUAGGUGGCAAGCGUUGUCCGGAUUUAUUGGGCGUAAAGAGAAUGUAGGCGGUUUAUUAAGUUUGAAGUGAAAGCCCUCGGCUCAACCGAGGAAGUGCUUCGAAAACUGGUAAACUUGAGUGCAGAAGAGGAAAGUGGAACUCCAUGUGUAGCGGUGGAAUGCGUAGAUAUAUGGAAGAACACCAGUGGCGAAGGCGGCUUUCUGGUCUGUAACUGACGCUGAGAUUCGAAAGCAUGGGUAGCAAACAGGAUUAGAUACCCUGGUAGUCCAUGCCGUAAACGAUGAGUGCUAAGUGUUGGAGGGUUUCCGCCCUUCAGUGCUGCAGCUAACGCAUUAAGCACUCCGCCUGGGGAGUACGAUCGCAAGAUUGAA